RNAcentral lists this ribosomal RNA (1184 nucleotides) under Breznakia blatticola. Its description in RNAcentral is "partial 23S ribosomal RNA". It matches the Rfam family "Bacterial large subunit ribosomal RNA", at positions 968 to 2156 of the family's 2925-position model. The record is from RNAcentral. Lineage: Bacteria; Bacillati; Bacillota; Erysipelotrichia; Erysipelotrichales; Erysipelotrichaceae.
CAGAUAUAUUCGGCAGUCAGACUGUGGGUGAUAAGGUCCAUGGUCAAAAGGGAAACAGCCCAGAUCACCAGCUAAGGUCCCAAAAUGUAUGCUAAGUGGAAAACGAUGUGGGGAUGCACAGACAACUAGGAGGUUGGCUCAGAAGCAGCCAUCCUUUAAAGAGUGCGUAACAGCUCACUAGUCGAGUGACCCUGCGCGGAAAAUGUACCGGGGCUAAGCAUACUACCGAAGCUGUGGAUUCGUAUCUAUUAGAUAUGAGUGGUAGAGGAGCGUUCCAUUCGUCGUUGAAGCUGUACCGUAAGGAGCAGUGGAGAGUAUGGAAGUGAGAAUGCCGGUGUGAGUAGCGAGAUGUAGGUGAGAAUCCUACACACCGAUAGCCUAAGGUUUCCAGGGGAAGGUUCGUCCGCCCUGGGUAAGUCAGGACCUAAGAUGAGGCCGAAAGGCGUAGUCGAUGGACAACAGGUUGAUAUUCCUGUACCCGCGUAAAAAUGAUGGAGUGACGGAGACGGUUAGUAUAUGCCACUUAAUGGAUUGUGGUCUAAGCGAGGUAGCUUGUAUGUAGGAAAAUCCGCAUACUAUAAGGCGAAGGCGUGAUGGGGAAGCGAAAGCAUUCGUGCGAGUAGUGAAGUAUAUGAUACCGGCUUCCAAGAAAAGCUUCUAGUAUUAAUUUUAUGACGGCCUGUACCGAAACCGACACAGGUGGGCAAGGCGAGAAGCCUGAGGUGAGCGAGAGAACUGUUGCCAAGGAACUCGGCAAAAUGGUCCCGUACGUUCGCAAGAAGGGACGCUCUAUAAAUAGAGCCGCAGUGAAUAGGCCCAAGCGACUGUUUAUCUAAAACACAGCUCUCUGCUAAGUUGAAAGACGACGUAUAGGGGGUGACUCCUGCCCGGUGCUGGAAGGUUAAGGGAAUCUGUUAGAGCUAGACUCGAAGCAGUGCACUGAAGCCCCAGUGAACGGCGGCCGUAACUAUAACGGUCCUAAGGUAGCGAAAUUCCUUGUCAGGUAAGUUCUGACCCGCACGAAAGGAGUAACGAUUUGGGCGCUGUCUCGGCAGCAGACUCGGUGAAAUCUUAGUACCUGUGAAAAUGCAGGUUACCCGCAACUAGACGGAAAGACCCCAUGGAGCUUUACUGUAGCUUGAUAUUGAGUUUUGAUUAAACAUGUACAGGAUAGGUGGGAGACG